UGGUUCUGGCAUCGAUGAAGAACGCAGCGAAAUGCGAUAAGUAAUGCGAAUUGCAGAAUUCCAGUGAGUCAUCGAAUCUUUGAACGCACAUUGCGCCCUUUGGUAUUCCGAAGGGCAUGCCUGUUCGAGCGUCAUUAUCACCCCUCGAGCCCCCGGGCUUGGUGUUGGACGGCCGGUCGAGCGAUCGAUCCCUCCGAAAGACAAUGACGGCGGCCUGCGGUUCCCCCGGUACACUGAGCUUCUCACCGAGCACGUACCGGACGAGGGCACCCGGGUCCCGGUCUCCUCCUUUGGCACAAAGGAAAAACUUCUAUGGUUGACCUCGGAUCAGGUAGGAACACGCGCUGA
Molecule: unclassified non-coding RNA, 348 nt
Filed under: uncultured fungus
Lineage: Eukaryota; Fungi
Description: partial contains 5.8S ribosomal RNA and internal transcribed spacer 2
Rfam family: 5.8S ribosomal RNA (bases 1-134)
Source: RNAcentral